AUUGAACGCUGGCGGCAUGCUUUACACAUGCAAGUCGAACGGUAACAGGUUAAGCUGACGAGUGGCGAACGGGUGAGUAAUGCAUCGGAACGUGCCCGAUCGUGGGGGAUAACGCAGCGAAAGCUGCGCUAAUACCGCAUACGAUCUGAGGAUGAAAGCGGGGGACCGUAAGGCCUCGCGCGAUCGGAGCGGCCGAUGUCAGAUUAGAUAGUUGGUUGGGUAAAGGCUCACCAAGCCAACGAUCUGGAGCUGGUCUGGGAGGACGACCAGCCACACUGGGACUGAGACACGGCUCAGACUCCUACGGGAGGCAGCAGUGGGGAAUUUUGGACAAUGGGCGAAAGCCUGAUCCAGCAAUGCCGCGUGCAGGAAGAAGGCCUUCGGGUUGUAAACUGCUUUUGUACGGAGCGAAAAGGCUCUCUCUAAUACAGGGGGCUCAUGACGGUACCGUAAGAAUAAGCACCGGCUAACUACGUGCCAGCCGCCGCCGUAA
Molecule: ribosomal RNA, 493 nt
Filed under: uncultured bacterium
Lineage: Bacteria
Description: partial 16S ribosomal RNA
Rfam family: Bacterial small subunit ribosomal RNA
Source: RNAcentral